RNAcentral lists this long non-coding RNA (12946 nucleotides) under Physcomitrium patens. RNAcentral's name for it is "long non-coding RNA (PPAT_LNC012208)". The record is from RNAcentral. Lineage: Eukaryota; Viridiplantae; Streptophyta; Bryopsida; Funariales; Funariaceae.
AGAUGGUACAGAGAACCCCAAACAACCCGAUCUACUAAUCUCCAAUACCACUUUAUACUCACGACCUUGUAUUCACUGACUGUCUUGUUAGAUUAAUCCAAUAAAUUUCAUUCACUCCGCAUACUCAAUCCUAUAGAUACCUUUUUAAUUCUUCAAUCAUAGACGUAACUUCGAUCUCACAAAACAGUCAAGACUAAUCACACCCACUUCAUUAAAAUCCUGAUUCACCAGUACAAUACUGACUUCAGCAACGAUUGCCUCAGUCUUCCCAAAAUCCUAUGAAGAAAAAAAAACCCCAAUUCUCUGUCUUUUUUCCACGCGCAAAGCAUGAAGCUAGCUCUUCGAUCCCUUCUAAAAAACUUAUUCUCUCCCCUUUCCAUUUCUUAACCUAUCAUCCCCUUUAACCCUAAUUCUGCCUUCUUUCAAAUCCUAGCCUCUGAAUUUCUUCAAUCUUCCGUCCUGGAUCCGAAAUUGGCUCUCGCCGUCUGAGCUUUCUCCUCCAUUUUUACCUUUAAGAAAUCUUUUUACUGAAAGAACGUUCCCAGAACGGCACAAAGGACAGAACAGCCUAAAACAGAAUCGAAGCCCCAAAAUCAGGACCACAUUGAGUUGCCCGACCAAUUCAGGUCUCAUAUUGGCUAAGAGGCCCAUAGUAAGACCUGGAUGUUCCCGUAAUUGGACCGCAUUGGCUUGCACGACCAAGUUAGGUCUCAUAUUGGGUAAGAGGACCUAGAUUGGAUGUCUUGAAAUUGGAUCCAAUUGGCUCUUCGAACCAGGCUCACCCGUCGUUGAAUUGGUCCUUUUCCUUUCUGUUAACUCCCGUUAUUGGAAUCGAAUGGAGCAUUUCAGUAUGCCCCGGCUGACUAUAACGGGGUGACUGAACCUGGCCUCUCAGUAUUUGCACUGGAAUUGGUCGUUGCUCCCAAUAUUCGAGGUAACUGAACAUUAAUAAAAGUCCCUUUUCUUUAUAUUUUCACAGUAAACUCGUGUUACAACACGACAAUCGCUAUUUGAUUUAGAAUAUAUUUUCUACGUCUCUGUCUAAUUUGUCUUCGUCACCUUCAUUAUCCAAAUCACUUUCAUCUUCUUGUUGCGUCCCUAACUUACAUAAUUCUCCUUCAAUAUUAUAUAAUCUCUUUUCUUUCUUUUCUUUUAAAAUCAUCAACUUUCUUAUACAUAAUAUUUCUAUUCUCCAAAAUACCAAUAAAACUCGCAUCAAAGGCACCUUCAUCUCGCGAGAGUACCUCCUCUUUUGUAACUCCAUAAUCUCGCUUUACAGUGGUACCUCCCCAAAAUCCUUAAAUCCUUUAACAAUCUUUGGCAAUGGUUUUUCCCUCAACCUAUCUCGAUUCCGUUCAUGGUUAGGAAGUACUGUUAGAAAUUGUACAACUUUCCUCCCAUCCUCGCUACGUACCCUUACAUAAGCAGAACCAUCGUCAACUACUUUUGUUUCCAUCUGUGUUGCCGUAAUAUAAGGUUGUCCUAAAAUCAACAGAUAAGACAUUGUAUCUUGAACAAAGAAAUGUUGCUCCGUCGCAACAUCCCCAAUCCGAAUUUUAACAUCUGGACAAGCUCCAUAUAAUUCGCCUCGUGUGUUAUUAGCUGCUUGUAUUGUCCAUCUAUGUUCCAUAUCAAUUGGCCAUUUUUGCUUCUUAUAAAGAUCUUUAGACAUAAGAUUUAUUUCAGAACCAUAGUCGACUAAAGCAACUAUUGGUUCUUCUAUAUCUCCUACUUUCACCAAUACCUCAGUAGUUGCCCUUGUCCAAUGCUUUCGAGUAUAAUGGCUCAAAGUUUCCAUUUCCUUACCACUAUAAUCUUCGAUACGUACUCGUUGAUUAUACCCAUUCUUUUCAUUUGUUGGUUGCUUGUAACCAAUAUCAACCUCUUCUUCAUCUUUAUAUAUUCUUGCAUCAAUAGUAUGACUCAUUCUAGUUUCGCUCAUUAAUUGCCUCUUUUGCUUAAUGCUGUCAAUGAUAACAUCAUGAAACUCCUUCUUUGUAAUUUCCAAGACUUCUUUCAAUGUGAAUUCCACUUUAGCGUUUAAUAUACAUUCUUCCAACACCCCUUUCAAAUUUGUUGUCGCUUCAAUGUCAGAAAGUAGCUUAUAAGCAAUUGAUUUGCCUUUAUCUUUUGUCUCCUUUAUUUUUUCUCUCAAUGAUGCUGAGGUAUCUUUUACAGGCAAUUCUUGUGAAGCUGCCUCCCGAGCCUUGUCUCCUCGAGUUUGCCUCUUAGAAGAAUUUCCUUCUCUCGUAUCAUCAAAAUUUCCUCGUCUCUUUUCUUCCAUCAAAGCUUCAUGUUGGCUCUUAGCAAUAUAUGCAUGAACUGAAAGAGACUCAACAGGAUCCUCCCAACAUGUUCUACCUUGUAUUGUAGCUGCAGUCCUCAAUAACGCUUCUCGAGGUAAUUUCCCUUCUUGCAUUGUAGAAAUGGCAGAAGCCCAAAACUCACUAAUUUUCGUACUUCCACCAAUUUCAUCAUCUACUCUAGCACCAUAACUUGUACUUUCUCGUGCUGCUGUUUCAUGCUCUUUUAGGUAAUCGUGAACCAAUGCUCUCAUUCCUCCCUUGCCAAAAUUAGUUUGAAGAAGAUCCUCUAUAUCUUUCAAUGCUAUCUUCCCAUCUUUCCAGCAAAUAAUUCCCUGUCGUAUCAUAUUAUUAAAUUCAUUGCAAUCUUUUCUAGUGUGUGAAGCGUCAUCACACCAAAUGCAUCUUUGUACAUAUCCUUGUUUUGAAAUAUUCUUUGAAUUGUUUAUAGAAGUAUUCUCUUCAAGUCUUGCCAAUUUGAUUUGAAGAUCUCGCAUUCCAUGCAUAAUUUCUUCCAUUCCCAUAUCUGCUUUCUUUGAUAAGGAUGUCGAAGGUUGAACUGUAGGCAUUGUUGGUGGUGUUGUAUGUACUGGAGCUUUGGGUGCUUGUACUAUUUUCGGAAUAUUACUCCUAUCCUUCCUCCUUUCUCUUUUUGUAAGCAACCUCACCGCAUCUUCAACGUUCUUCUACUUUGUUGUCAAUCCUUCGUCUUCUUCUUUGUCUUCAAGAAGGAGUUCUAAUUUUCCUUGCAAUUCUCCAUCAACAGCUUGAAGAAAUAGAUCAACUUUGUUCGGCUCCAAUGUCAAUUUUUCUACCUUCGACAAUUGAGAUUAUUGCCUCUCAAAUUCUCUUAGUAGCUUUCUUGCUUGUAAAUUCUUAUUAGGCCAUUCAAUCCAUUCCUGAAACAGCUUCUUAGCAAUGCUGUCGUACUACGUGCUUUCCAACUCGAGAAUGCGCUAGGCGUCUGGCUGUAGAAAGUAGUAUGGAGAUUCGCCAAUAGUCAAGCAGUCUAUCACUUUUUGAUUGUUAGAAUAUAAUCGACUACAAGAAUAUACCGUAAAUCUAUACAGAUGCCCUUCGAUUGCUCGCCGAAGUCCUUUUUGUCCCGGUCAGUAGGUCUCUAAACGUUACAGAGAAUCCCAAACAACCCAAACUGUUAAUCUUUUAUACCGCUUUGUACUUACAAUCUUGUAUCCACUGACUGUCUUGUUAGAUUAACCCAAUAAAUUUCAUUCACUCCGCAUACUCAAUCCUAUAGACACCCUUUUAAUUCUUCAAUCUCAAACGUAACUCGAUUUUACAAAAAAGUCAAGAGUAAUCAAACCCACUUCAUUAAAAAUCUCGAUUCACCAUUACAACACUGACUUCAGCAACGAUUGCCUCAGUCUUUCCAAAAUCCUAUGAAGAAGAAAAAAAAUCCAAUUCUCUGUCUUCUUUCCCCGCCCGAAGCAUGAAGCUCCCUCCCCCGCAAUCUUCAAAAACCUCCCAAAAACUUAUUCUCCCCCUAACCUUAUCCUCUGAAUUUCUUCAAACUUCCAUCUUGGAUCCGAAAUUGGCUCCCGCCGUCAGAGCUUUCUUCUCCGUUUUUACCUUUAAGAGAUCCAUUUAUCGAAAACAACGUUCCCUGAAACGGCAUAGAGAAUAGGACAGCCUGAAAUAGAAUCAAAAUCCCGUACUCGGGUCCACAUUGAGUCGCCCGACCAAUUCAGGUCUCAUAUUGGGUAAGAUGCCCGUAGUAACCUAGAUGUUUGCGUAAUUGGGUCAAAUUGGUCUUCGCGUAAGAUUGACUAAGAGGCCCGUAGUAAGAUCUAGAUGUUCCCGUAAUUGGAUCAAAUUGGUCCUUCGCAUUAGACUGAUUGAGGCCCAUAGUAAGACCUGGAUUUUCCCAUAAUUAGACUGCAUUGGGUUGCGUGACCAAUGUAGGUCUCAUAUUGGGUAAGAGGACCCGGAUUGGAUUCUUGAAAUUGGAUCCAAUUGGCUCUUCGAAUCAGGCUCACCCGUCGUGUGAAUUGGUCCUUUCUCUUCCUGCUGACUCUCGUUAUUGGAAUCGAAUGGAGCAUUUCAGUAUACCCCAGUUGACUGUAACGGAGUGACUGAACUUGGCCACUCAGUAUUUGCACUGGAGUUGGUCAUUGCUCCCAAUAUUUGAGGUAACUGAACAUUAAUAAAAGUCCCCUUUCUUUAUAUUUUCAGGAUAUACUCGUGUUCCAAGACGACAUCCACCCCCUCUGAACCUGUUCAUCCUCCGGUAUGCACCAAUUUACCGAAUUGCUGUUUGAUUUAGAAUAUAUCCUCUACGUCUUUGUCUUAUUUGUCUUUGUCACCUUCAUUAUCCAAAUCACUUUCAUCUUCUUGCUGCGGAAACUCUAUACCUUGAUUAAGGUCUUCCAUAUUCAUCUCCGCGUGUCUUUGUUUAAAUAUUUUUACUCACUUCCCUGCAAUUGGUAUUUUCAAUUUUGUACCAUCUAACUCCCGUAACGAGUAAGUCACAUUAUCAUGAACAGUUGUUACCACAUAUGGUCCAAAUCAACGUUUUGAAAAUUAUUACAAAGUACUAUGUUGAUUAUCCAGACUAUUGUCAUAAACAAGUACCCAGUCACCUUCCUCGAUAAAUUUUGGUCUCUAUCGAUGUUGCUUGUCGAAUCGUGCCUUAUUUUGUAACCUUGUUUUUUUUAACCUUUCCAAUGCUUUUUGCACAUCUUCCGUUCUUUGCUCCAUUUGUCGAAUCCUAACAGCCAGAAGUUCUUCUCUUAUCAAUCCAUCUUCCCAUGGUAGCAUAUUCCAAGUAAGUACCUUUUCUUCAAUCGGCAUAAUUAGUUUUCGACCUAUCAUAAGUUUUACUGGCAUAUAUCCUAUCACCGAACUAUGUGUUCUUCGAUCAGCCCAUAAUGCAAAUGAUAAAAGCCGUGGCCACUCUUUAACUUUCCCAUUACAAGCUUUAACCAAUGCUUUCACAGUCGGUAGGUGACCGCGUUCUCUUUUUGCAUUCCCUUUUGGAUUAUAAGCAGCAGUCAGUGAUAGUUUAAUUCCACAUCUUUCAAAGAACUUACGAGCUUCUUGUGCAUUUAAUUCUCCAUGAUCUGUAGUGAUUUUUCUUACACAUCCGUAGCGGCAAAUGACAUCUUCAAGCAAAAACCUACAAAUCCCCUCUAUAGAUUUUGUCCUCAAUGCUCUUCCUUCUACUUGAUUUGAUAAAUCUUUGCGAGCUAAAACCAAAUAUCUCAUCUGCCACAACCCAACCGGCAUAAUAACCAAAUCAACAAUCCAUUUAAAAUGAAUAGCCAGAGGAUACGUAGGAUGAAGACCAUCUCGAUGUCGGAUAUUAGAAUACGAUUGACAGAUUUCACAUGACUCUACAAAUGAGAGCACAUCUCAAUACAUAUUUUUCCACCAAUAUCGUUGCUUGAGUUUAGCAAAAGUAGCCUAGAUUCCGCAAUGCCCUGCCCAUAAACUAUCAUGAAACUCCUUUAAUAAUUUUAGUUUUUCUUCCUUUUUGUCUAUCACUCGUUGUGGCAUUCCAAUUCCUUUCUUCGGUCUCUUCCAUAAGAAUCCAUCUCAAAGUAAAAAUCCAUAUGCUUUUUUUCUUAUUUGUUUGAAUUUUUCUGUAGACCAAUUCUCCUGUUUAGUCAAGGUAUUCAAGUAAUGACCAAUAUUUAAUAAUUCUCCUUCAUAAGAUUCUUUAAGAAAUAGCUUGUCUUCUCUGUUGAAAUUUGAUAUUGAAUAGAAUUUCAAUCCGACGUCAUCAAUAUCUUCAACCAUUUCGUCCUCCCUCUCGUAUCUUGCUCAAGAUAGCAUGUCUGCUACUAAAUUGUCCUUCCCAGUAACAUGCUUAAAUUCCGGAUUUAGUGACUUAAUUUAAGCAAUCCAUCUCAACAUUGCAAUAUCUGGCAUUGAACAGUUAAUAAUCAUUCCAAGCAAUGGCAAGCAAUCUAUUUCAAUUACUACUACUGCCCCAAUCAAAUAGUCCUUUUCAGCUUUCAUAGCCGAAAUGACUCUCCAAAGUUCUCUUUUGACUUGCGAAUAUGCAUGCUGACGAAUACUUAAAACUUUAGCCCCGAAUCGAACUACAAAUCUAUUCCCAUUUGAAUCAUCUUGACCCACAGCCCAUCCAAUGGCAAUUGAACUAGCGUCCACAGUAAGAAUCACUGGUCUAUUGCACUUAUAAUCAACCUUCCUCAAUAUUGGAGGUGACAUCAAUAAUUUCUUCAAUCUUUGCAUUGCUUGAAUAUGCCUUUCUUCCCAUUUAAAUCAGUAACCCUUGUGUACCAAUUCAUAUAAUGGAUCCCUUUUGUGAACAAAAUGAGGGAUCCAGAUUCGAUAAAAUACACAUGCACCCAAAAACCUGCGAACCUAUGUUAAAGAAUCACAAUCCUCUUUCAUCCUUCCAAUUGCAUCAACUUUAGUCGGAUCUGGUUUUCUUCCGUAAGAUCCACAUAAAUGUCCAACAACUACAACCUCUCGUACUCCAAAUACGGACUUCAUACCCGAUAAUGUAAGAUGAACUUCUCCAAGCCGAGUUAAAAUCUUUUCACAAUCUUGUACAUGAUCAACAACAUAUUUGUAACACCCCCUCGUAUCUAAAGUUUCAUCCUUGUCUCCUUCUCUGCACUCUUUUAUGGGGACAUCAUCCAAAAAAGGCAAAGUCUUUUCCGGAAUAAAAUCUCUCAAUACCUUAUUCAUCCCAUUCAUCAUAUGCGCAACUGAGUUGGUCGCGCCUUGAAGAAGAGUGCACAUUCUAACCAAUCCAAGUGGUGUCCUCAUUGUUGUCAUAUCUCUACUUCCUUCGGCAAGUUGAAAUUGAUCAUAACCUGAAUACAAGUCACCCAUUGAAUAGAUCGUCCUUCCAGCAAACGCCUCAGCAAAUUCAUCCACAAUAGGUCCAAUUCCUGCAUUCCUGACGGUUAUUGCAUUCACCGGUUGCAUAUCUUGAAUAAACCGUAGUGACCCAUUCUUCUUAGGUACCGUAAACCAUCGUCUAGAAUACGGCGCAAACGAAGGUUCAAUUUUUUUCAUCUUUAUCUUUUCUUUUAAUAGCUCAACUAAUUUAGGUAAAUGUGUCCUCGGUAAUGGAAUCGGUCUUAGAUUCUAAGGUACAUGUGGUACAGUGAAGAUAACCAUAGGUGUUACAAUAUUUGGAUCCACACACCCAAUUUCAUCAAAUUCGAAGGCAAACGAUCUACCAUGUUUAGCCAACAUCUUUUUGAAGCAAGUAAUUUCCAUCGGUAAUAAAGAACCAUCAGAAUCAAUCUUCAAUUCUUCAAAAGUCUCUUUAGUAAACUGGUGUCCAAUACUCAUAGGAUCUCUUAAACUUGCUUCUUUUGAUGCUUCUCCCAUUUGUUCUUUAGAAUCUUCUGGUAAUGGCUUUACCUUCUUUAGAAUCUUCUGGUAAUGGUAUUGCCAAUAGGCUUUACCUUCUUAUCUGCCAUUUUAUAUCUCGUCUCUACAGUGACUUCUGGUGCUUGAAAAGAUUCAAGUAUGGUAUAAACCUCUCUUGAAUGAAUCUCAACAAUCCUAUCAUUAUCCCCUAAUCCAAUAGAUGUAAUCAAUUCCAAUGAAUCUUCGAGUCCAUUUUCUUCAUAAACACCUAAAAUCCUCUCAUCAUCUUGCAAUGUACCUAACUUGCGUAAUUGUCCUUCAAUAUCAUAUAAUCUUUUUCUUUCUUUUCUUUUAAAAUCAUCAACUUUCUUAUACAUAAUAUUUCCAUUCUCCAAAAUACCAAUAAAACUCGCAUCAAAGGAACCUUCAUCUCGCGAGAGUACCUCCUCUUUUGUACCUCCAUAAUCUCGCUUUACAGUGGUACCUCCCCAAAAUCCUUAAAUCCUUCAACAAUCUUUGGCAAUGGUUUUUCCCUCAACCUAUCUCGAUUCCGUUCAUGGUUAGGAGGUACUGUUAGAAAUUGUACAACUUUCCUCCCAUCCUCGCUACGUACCCUUGCAUAAGCAGAACCAUCGUCAACUACUUUUGUUUCCAUCCGUGUUUUCGUAAUAUAAGGUUGUUUUAAAAUCAACGAAUAAGACGUUGUAUCUUGAACAAAGAAAUGUUGCUCCGUCGCAACAUCUCCAAUCCAAAUUUUGACAUCUGGAUAAGCUCCAUAUAAUUCACCCCGUAUGUUAUUAGCUGCUCGAAUUGUCCAUCCAUGUUCCAUAUCAAUUGGCCAUUUUUGCUUCUUAUAAAGAUCUUUAGACAUGAGAUUUAUUUCAGAACCAUAGUCGACUAAAGCAACUAUUGGUUCUUCUAUAUCUCCUACUUUCAUCAAUACCUCAGUAGUUGCCCUUGCCCAAUGCUUUCGAGUAUAAUGGCUCAAAGUUUCCAUUUCCUUGUCACUAAAAUCUUUGAAACGUACUCGUUGAUUAUACCCAUUCUUUUCAUUUGUUGGUUGCUUGUAACCAAUAUCAACCUCUUCUUCAUCUCUAUAUAUUCUUGCAUCAAUAGCAUGAUUCAUUCCAGUUUCGCCCAUUAAUUGCCUCUUUUGCUAAAUGCUAUCAAUCAUAACAUCAUAAAACUCCUUCUUUGUAAUUCUCAAGACUUCUUUCAAUGUGAAUUCCACUUUAGCGUUUAAUAUACAUUCUUCCAACACCCCUUUCAAAUUUGUUGCCGCUUCAAUGUCAGAAAGUAGCUUAUAAGUAAUUGAUUUGCCUUUAUCUUUUGUCUCCUUUGUUUUUUCUCCCAAUGAUGCUGAGGUAUCUUUUACAGGCAAUUCUUGUGAAGCUGCCUCCUGAGCCUUGUCUCCUCGAGUUUGCCUCUUAGAAGAAUUUCCUUCUCUCGUAUCAUCAAAAUUUCCUCGUCUCUUUUCUUCCAUCAAAGCUUCAUGUUGGCUCUUAGCAAUAUAUGCAUGAACUGAAAGAGACUCAACAGGAUCCUCCCAACCUGUUCUACCUCGUAUUGUAGCUGCAGUUCUCAAUAACGCUUCUCGAGGUAAUUUCCCUUCUUGCAUUGUAGAAACGGCAGAAGCCCAAAACUCACUAGUUUCCGUACUUCCACCAAUUUCAUCAUCUACUCUAGCACCAUAACUUGUACUUUCUUGUGAUGCUGUUUUAUGCUCUUUUAGGUAAUCGUGAACCAAUGCUCUCAUUCCUCCCUUGCCAAAAUUGGUUUGAAGAAGAUCCUCCCUAUCUUUCAAUGCUAUCUUUCCAUCUUUCCAGCAAAUAAUUCCCUGUCGUAUCAUAUUAUUAAAUUCAUUGCAAUCUUUUCUAGUGUGUGAAGCGUCAUCACACCAAAUGCAUCUUUGUACAUAUCCUUGUUUUGAAAUAUUCUUUGAAUUGUUUAUAGAAGUAUUCUCUUCAAGUCUUGCCAAUUUGAUUUGAAGAUCUCGCAUUCCUCGCAUAAUUUCUUCCAUUCCCAUAUCUGCUUUCUUUGAUAAGGAUGUCGAAGGUUGAACUGUAGGCAUUGUUGGUGGUGUUGUAUGUACUGGAGCUUUGGGUGCUUGUACUAUUUUCGGAAUAUUGCUCCUAUCCUUCCUCCUUUCUCUUUUUGUAAGCAACCUCACCGCAUCUUCAACGUUCUUCUACUUUGUUGUCAAUCCUUCGUCUUCUUCUUUGUCUUCAAGAAGGAGUUCUAAUUUUCCUUGCAAUUCUCCAUCAGCAGCUUGAAGAAAUAGAUCAACUUUGUUCGGCUCCAAUGUCAAUUUUUCUACCUUCGACAAUUGAGAGUAUUACCUCUCAAAUUCCUUUAGUAGCUUUGUUGCUUGCAAAUUCUUAUUGGGCUGUUCAAUCCAUUCCAAGAACAGCUUCUUAGUAACACGAUCAGCAUCUUUUAAGAAAUAUUCGUCUUUCAAUGCAUGUGAAAAAACCUCCCAUGAAUUCCCAUAACGAUCUGUAAUCGAUGUAAUGUGGUCUCUUAUCUCCGGUAUCAUGGCAAGUUCAAAUAAUUCAACCAUUUUCUUCUCAGAAAUCCAAUUUAAUUCCAUUUCAUGAACAUAACAUCUUAAAUACCUUGAAAUAUUCCUCCCAUUAAAUUGAUCAAUUUUAUUGACCACUGCUUGCAAUGCUUUGGUUGCCAAAGCUUCCUUUCGAUCAUUACUUUGUUGUUGCUGCAUUGAUAAUGAGAAGGCUUGAAACAUACUAGCAAUAGACGAAUCCAUGUGCAUACCUUGUCCUUUAGAAGAAUCCCCACUAGGAACUCCUCCCAAAAAUCCUUCAAAAUUUUUAUUUUCGUUUUCCAUAAAAUAAAGAUAAAAUCAACCGAAAUCCAAUACCUUCCACCUUAAGCUUUCACGACGAGUUCACCACUUUUGUCGUAUUAUGUGCUAUCCUGCUCGAGAACGCGCCGGGCGUUUGGCUGUAGAAGGUAGUAUGGAGAUUCGCCAAUAGUCAUGCAGUCUAUCAGUUUUUUAUUGUUAGAAUAUAAACGACUACAAGAAUACACCGUAAAUCUAUACGGAUGCCCUUUGACUGCUCGCCGAAGUGCUUUUUGUCCCGGCCGAUAGGUCUCUAAACGUUACAGAGAAUCCCAAACAACCCAAACUAUUAAUCUUUUAUACCGCUUUGUACUUACAAUCUUGUAUCCACUGACUGUCUUGUUAGAUUAACUCAAUAAAUUUCAUUCACUUUGCAUACUCAAUCCUAUAGACACCCUUUUAAUUCUUCAAUCUCAAACGUAACUUAAUUUCACAAAACAGUCAAGAGUAAUCAAACCCACUUCAUUAAAAAUCCCGAUUCACCAUUACAACACUGACUUCAACAACGAUUGCCUCAGUCUUCCCAAAACCCUAUGAAGAAAAGAAAAAACCCCCCAAUUCUUUGUCUUCUUUCCCCGCCCGAAGCAUGAAGCUCCCUCCCCCCAAUCUUCAAAAACCUCCCAAAAACUUAUUCUCCCCCUAACCUUAUCCUCUGAAUUUCUUCAAUCUUCCAUCUUGGAUCCGAAAUUGGCUCCCACCGUCAGAGCUUUUUUCUCCGUUUUCACCUUUAAGAGAUCCAUUUAUCGAAAAUAAUGUUCUCUGAAACGGCAUAGAGAAUAGGACAGCCUGAAACAGAAUCAAAACCCCAUAUUCGGGUCCACAUUGAGUCGCCCGACCAAUUCAGGUCUCAUAUUGGGUAAGAUGCCCGUAGUAACCCGGAUGUUUGCGUAAUUGGGUCAAAUUGGUCCUCGCGUUAGAUUGGCUAAGAGGCCCGUAGUAAGACCUAGAUGUUCCCGUAAUUGGAACAAAUUGGUCCUUCGCGUCAGACUAGGUGAGGCCCAUAGUAAGACCUGGAUUUUCUCAUAAUUAGACUGCAUUGGGUUGCCUGACCAAUGUAGGUCUCAUAUUGGGUAAGAGGACCCGGAUUGGAUUCUUGAAAUUGGAUCCAAUUCGCUCUUCGAACCAAGCUCACCCGUCGUGUGAAUUGGUCCUUUCUCUUCCUGCUGACUCCCGUUAUUGGAAUCGAAUGGAGCAUUUCAAUAUGCCUCGGCUGACUGUAACGAGGUGACUGAACUUGGCCACUCAGUAUUUGCACUGGAGUUGGUCGUUGCUCCCAAUAUUCGAGGUAACUGAACAUUAAUAAAAGUCCCCUUUCUUUAUAUUUUCACGAUAUAUUCGUGUUACAACAUGACAACGCGAUCAACAUCUUUCAAGAAAUGUUCGUCUUUCAAUGCAUGUGAAAAAACCUCCCAUGAAUUCCUUUAACGAUCCGUAAUCAAUAUAAUAUGGUCUCUUAUCUCCGGUAUCGUGGCAAGUUCAAAUAAUUCAACCAUUUUCUUCUCAGAAACCCGAUUUAAUUCCAUUUCACAAACAUAACAUCUUAAAUACCUUGAAAUAUUCCUUCCAUCAAAUUGAUCAAUUUUAUUGACCACUACUUGCAAUGCUUUGGUUGCCAAAUCUUCCUUUCGAUGAUUGCUUUGUUGUUGCUGCAUUGAUAAUGAGAAGGCUCGAAACAUACUAGCAAUAGACAGAUCCAUGUGCAUACCUUGUCCUUUAGAAGAACCCCUUCUAGAAACUCCUCCCAAAGAUCCUUCAAAAUUUUUAUUUUCGUUUUCCAUAAAAUAAAAAUAAAAUUAAACAAAAUCCAAUACCUUCCACUUCAAGCUUUCACGUCGGGUUCACCACUUAUGUCAUAUUACGUGCUUUCAUGCUCGAGAAUGUGUCGGGCGUCUAGUUGUAAAAGGUAGUAUGGAGAUUCGCUAAUAUUCAAGCACUCUAUCGGUUUUUGACUGUUGGAAUACAAACGAUUGUAAGAAUAUAUCGUAAAUCUAUACGGAUGUCCUUCGACUGCUCACCGAAAUCUUUUUUGCCCCAGUCGGUAGGUCUCUAGACGUUACAGAGAACCCCAAACAACCCGAUCUACUAAUCUCCGAUACCACUUUAUACUCACGACCUUGUAUCCAUUGACUGUCUUGUUAGAUUAAUCCAAUAAAUUUCAUUCACUCUGCAUACUCAAUCCUAUAGAUACCUUUUUAAUUCUUCAAUCAUAGACGUAACUUCGAUCUCACAAAACAGUCAAGAGUAAUCACACCGACUUCAUUAAAAUCCCGAUUAACUAGUACAACACUGACUUCAGUAACGAUUGCCUCAAUCUUCCCAAAAUCCUAUGAAAAAAAAAAAAACCCCAAUUCUCAGUCUUUUUUCUCUGCUCGAAGCGUGAAGCUAGCUCUCCAAUCCCUUCUAAAAAACUUAUUCUCUCUCUUUCCCAUUUCUUAACCUAUCCUCCCCUUUAAUCAUAAUUCUCCCC